RNAcentral lists this ribosomal RNA (529 nucleotides) under Shigella sonnei. RNAcentral's name for it is "bacterial SSU rRNA". It matches the Rfam family "Bacterial small subunit ribosomal RNA", at positions 1 to 519 of the family's 1533-position model. The record is from RNAcentral. Lineage: Bacteria; Pseudomonadati; Pseudomonadota; Gammaproteobacteria; Enterobacterales; Enterobacteriaceae.
AAAUUGAAGAGUUUGAUCAUGGCUCAGAUUGAACGCUGGCGGCAGGCCUAACACAUGCAAGUCGAACGGUAACAGGAAACAGCUUGCUGUUUCGCUGACGAGUGGCGGACGGGUGAGUAAUGUCUGGGAAACUGCCUGAUGGAGGGGGAUAACUACUGGAAACGGUAGCUAAUACCGCAUAAUGUCGCAAGACUAAAGAGGGGGACCUUCGGGCCUCUUGCCAUCGGAUGUGCCCAGAUGGGAUUAGCUAGUAGGUGGGGUAACGGCUCACCUAGGCGACGAUCCCUAGCUGGUCUGAGAGGAUGACCAGCCACACUGGAACUGAGACACGGUCCAGACUCCUACGGGAGGCAGCAGUGGGGAAUAUUGCACAAUGGGCGCAAGCCUGAUGCAGCCAUGCCGCGUGUAUGAAGAAGGCCUUCGGGUUGUAAAGUACUUUCAGCGGGGAGGAAGGGAGUAAAGUUAAUACCUUUACUCAUUGACGUUACCCGCAGAAGAAGCACCGGCUAACUCCGUGCCAGCAGCCGCG